CUACGGGUGGCUCCAGUGAGGAAUAUUGCACAAUGGGGGGAACCCUGACGCAGCAACGCCGCGUGGAGGAUGACGCAUUUCGGUGUGUAAACGCCUUUUAUAUGUCAAGAAAAUGACGGUAGCAUAUGAAUAAGCACCGGCUAACUCCGUGCCAGCAGCCGCGGUAAUACGGAGGGUGCAAGCGUUACUCGGAAUCACUGGGCGUAAAGGACGCGUAGGCGGGUUGGAAAGUCAGGUGUGAAAUCCUACAGCUUAACUGUAGAACUGCACUUGAAACUUCUAAUCUAGAGUAUGGGAGGGGGAGAUGGAAUUAGUGGUGUAGGGGUAAAAUCCGUAGAUAUCACUAGGAAUACCUAAAGCGAAGGCGAUCUCCUGGAACAUUACUGACGCUAAGGCGUGAAAGCGUGGGGAGCAAACAGGAUUAGAUACCCGCGUAGUC
This 439-nucleotide ribosomal RNA is filed under the name uncultured bacterium. Its description in RNAcentral is "partial 16S ribosomal RNA". It matches the Rfam family "Bacterial small subunit ribosomal RNA", at positions 339 to 795 of the family's 1533-position model. The record is from RNAcentral.